Molecule: long non-coding RNA, 689 nt
Filed under: Zostera marina
Lineage: Eukaryota; Viridiplantae; Streptophyta; Magnoliopsida; Alismatales; Zosteraceae
Description: long non-coding RNA (ZMAR_LNC002972)
Source: RNAcentral
UCUAAUGUAUGCUUGAAGAAAACAUUGACUUGGUAGAUUCUCUGUAAUGAAAACUUCGUCCCCAGUUAUUAGAUAGAUCUUCACAUACAAUUUGUAUCUCUUCAUCUUGUAUUUUCCAAACAGUUUCGGCCAUGAUUUCACAAACAUCUAUAACCAGCCUUCUGUUUAUCCUUCUCUGAUAGAAGUUAUAUUUGAAAUAUAUGCAAAUAUAAAUAUGAAAUAUGGUUUAAGAAUUGAAUUAUCGAUGAAUGUAUGAUGAUAUGAUAAUGUAUUGUAAAUUGAUACUGUAGGAUGAUCGAUUGAUGAAGCGAUGAUCCACAGCUUGUUGAAGUGAGUUGAAUGUGAUUGAACUUGAAUCUGUGAUUCAAGUUGUUGUAUUGCGGAAGCGUUUGAUGAUUGGCAAUUCCAGUUGCAGAGUUGAUCAGACAGAGUAACACAAAGUCUGUAUUGUAAUACAGAGUGUGUGGAUGUGUGUGUGAUCGUGUGUUAAACUUAAACUAGGAUUAGAUAAGUUUAUAUAGAAGAACACCCAACGGCUAUGUUGGUUGGGUGUAUUUAAUUAUGGUAAUUAAUGUAUAUAGGAAUGUGUAAUAUGGAUUUGGGAAUUAAUAUAAGAUUGAAUAUUUGAUUGAUAUUUAAAUAUGAAAAGAUGUAAUGAGAAUGUGAAGAGUUGUGAUGAAAUAAGAGGG